AAGUCGUAACAAGGUUUCCGUAGGUGAACCUGCGGAAGGAUCAUUAAUGAAUACAAAAGCUUUUGAAGUUGUUUUGCUGGUCUCUAGGGACAUUGUGCACGCUUCAUUAGUUUCCACUUCAUACCCCUGUGCACCUUUGAUAGAUUUCGGUUGGGUUAUCCUGGUUUUCUUAAUUGAAGGCCUUGGUUUUCCUAAAUGAUUUCUAUACUAUACCACACACCAAAUGUAUGUUUAUAAUGAAUGUUUAUAAUUACAAGGCCAUGAGCCUUAUAAACUUAAUACAACUUUCAACAACGGAUCUCUUGGCUCUC
This 311-nucleotide unclassified non-coding RNA is filed under the name air metagenome. RNAcentral describes it as "partial contains small subunit ribosomal RNA, internal transcribed spacer 1, and 5.8S ribosomal RNA". The stretch from base 1 to 46 matches the Rfam family "Eukaryotic small subunit ribosomal RNA", at positions 1786 to 1831 of the family's 1831-position model. The record is from RNAcentral.